GGCCUAUUGAGUAUAAUUUUAGGUCGAUCUGCUCCAUGAAAUAAAUUUAAAUAGCUGCAGUAUAUUGACUGUACAAAGGUAGCAUAAUAAAUUGUCUUUUAAUUGAAGAAUUGAAUGAAUGAAUUGAUGAAAUAACAACUGUCUCUAUUUUAUUUAAUGAAUUUAAAUUUUUAGUAAAAAUUCUGAAAUUUAAUUAUGGGACGAUAAGACCCUAUAGAAUUUCAUUUAAUAUAAUUAUUUAUUUAAAUUAUUUGUGAAUAUAUAAUUAAUUUAAAUUUGAUUGGGAGGAUUGGUAAAUAAAAAUAACUUUAUCUAAAAAUUAAUUUUGAUGAAAAGAUUUUUUUUGACUUAUAAUUUAUGAUUAAAAGAAUAAAUUACCUUAGGGAUAACAGCGUAAUAUCUUUUGAUAGACCACAUUGAUAAAGAUGUUUGCGACCUCGAUGUUGAAUUAAGAGAAAAGUUAAACGCAGGAGUUUAAAAUUUUAAGUCUGUUCGACUUUUAAAAUCUU
This 509-nucleotide ribosomal RNA is filed under the name Apis cerana (Asiatic honeybee). Its description in RNAcentral is "partial large subunit ribosomal RNA". The stretch from base 385 to 509 matches the Rfam family "Bacterial large subunit ribosomal RNA", at positions 2473 to 2597 of the family's 2925-position model. The record is from RNAcentral. Lineage: Eukaryota; Metazoa; Arthropoda; Insecta; Hymenoptera; Apidae.